Molecule: unclassified non-coding RNA, 163 nt
Filed under: uncultured Ascomycota
Lineage: Eukaryota; Fungi; Ascomycota
Description: sequence contains ITS2
Source: RNAcentral
CGACCCUCAAGUAUAACUUGGUGUUGGGUUAAGUCCCUUAAUUUUUAGGGACUAACCCCUAACUCGUAGGCGGUCAUCGCCCUUUUUCCCCGAGCGUAGCAGGCUCACGCACUCGCUUAGGGAUAGGCGGUUUGAACUCGCUAAAUAAAAAUCUUUUUUAAAG